This 440-nucleotide ribosomal RNA is filed under the name uncultured bacterium. Its description in RNAcentral is "partial 16S ribosomal RNA". It matches the Rfam family "Bacterial small subunit ribosomal RNA", at positions 338 to 795 of the family's 1533-position model. The record is from RNAcentral.
CCUACGGGAGGCAGCAGUAGGGAAUAUUGCUCAAUGGGGGAAACCCUGAAGCAGCAACGCCGCGUGGAGGAUGAAGGUUUUCGGAUUGUACACUCCUAUUGUUAGGGAAGAAAAUGACGGUAUCUAACGAAUAAGCCCCGGCUAACUACGUGCCAGCCGCCGCGGUAAUACGGAGGGUGCAAGCGUUAAUCGGAUUUACUGGGAGUAAAGAGCGCGUAGGCGGGAUAGCAAGUCAGAUGUGAAAUCCUAUGGCUUAACCAUAGAACUGCUUUGGAAACUGUUAAGCUAGAGUAUGGGAGAGGUAAGUGGAAUUCUUGGUGUAGCGGUAAAAUGCGUAGAGAUCAAGAGGAAUACUCAUGGCGAAGGCGACCUGCUAGAACUUAACUGACGCUGAGGCGCGAAAGCGUGGGGAGCAAACAGGAUUAGAUACCCCUGUAGUC